RNAcentral lists this small RNA (568 nucleotides) under Pan troglodytes (chimpanzee). RNAcentral's name for it is "retained intron". Lineage: Eukaryota; Metazoa; Chordata; Mammalia; Primates; Hominidae. The record is from RNAcentral.
AGCUUGUUCAGAGGAGCUCAGCUCUGGGGGAGAGCUCAAAGCCGACACCUAUUGAGUUGCAGUUAAAAUGAGGGCGAAAAAGGCUUUUGUUUCAGUUCUGCAGAUGGUCUGGGAGUUUGUGUUUCUUAGCAAGAAUUUUCUAGAUCUUUUGGCUUGAACCAUCUGAAUAACUGCCUCAAGCUUUUGCAUGGUUCCCACUGGGUGGGUUGGGGUGGGAGGGGCUGUCGUGCAUGGUCCGGGAAAGCUGGAGAAGGCUGUUCCUUCACCCCGAGCCUUGGAUUUCUUAUCUGUGAAAUGGGAGGCUGCAAUGAUGAAUGGCAAAGUACCUUUUUUUUUCAGCUCUGAAAGUCUAGGAUAUUUUGCCACUGGAAGACCAGCAGACAAUGUCAUGACAACGCAAGAGGAUACAAUAGGGCUGCUUCAAAAGACAAGUCUUUGGACCAUGUCAAGACCUGGAGCGAAGAAGGUUUCAGUAUCAACCUGACUUCUUUUGGAAGGAUCCCUUGGCCUCACGCUGGAGUGGGCACCUGCCCUAGCCCACAGAGCUGGGUUUCUCCCUUUCUUCAAU